Molecule: ribosomal RNA, 372 nt
Filed under: uncultured organism
Description: partial 16S ribosomal RNA
Rfam family: Bacterial small subunit ribosomal RNA
Source: RNAcentral
GUAGGUGGCAAGCGUUGUCCGGAAUUAUUGGGCGUAAAGCGCGCGCAGGGCGGUCCUUUAAGUCUGAUGUGAAAGCCCACGGCUCAACCGUGGAGGGUCAUUGGAAACUGGGGGACUUGAGUACAGAAGAGGAAAGCGGAAUUCCAAGUGUAGCGGUGAAAUGCGUAGAGAUUUGGAGGAACACCAGUGGCGAAGGCGGCUUUCUGGUCUGUAACUGACGCUGAGGCGCGAAAGCGUGGGGAGCAAACAGGAUUAGAUACCCUGGUAGUUCACGCCGUAAACGAUGAGUGCUAAGUGUUAGGGGGUUUCCGCCCCUUAGUGCUGCAGCUAACGCAUUAAGCACUCCGCCUGGGGAGUACGGCCGCAAGGCUG